This 85-nucleotide non-coding RNA is filed under the name Tissierella praeacuta. RNAcentral describes it as "c-di-GMP sequence". It matches the Rfam family "c-di-GMP-I riboswitch aptamer". Rfam says of the family: GEMM was predicted in a large-scale screen for bacterial structured RNA regulatory elements. The record is from RNAcentral. Lineage: Bacteria; Bacillati; Bacillota; Tissierellia; Tissierellales; Tissierellaceae. RNAcentral also lists the same sequence under 1 other name.
CACUGAUAAAGGCAAAUUUAGUGAAAACUAAAGACGCAAAACUAAAGGACCUUCCUUAGAAAUAAGAUGGUAGCCAGUUAUCGAA